RNAcentral lists this ribosomal RNA (588 nucleotides) under Triticum aestivum (bread wheat). RNAcentral's name for it is "partial small subunit ribosomal RNA". Lineage: Eukaryota; Viridiplantae; Streptophyta; Magnoliopsida; Poales; Poaceae. The record is from RNAcentral.
AUGGCACCCGAGACGCGUCUGCAGCCAGAACCAACGAAGUUGCAGUACAAGAAGCUGGGAGAUUCAGAUCUCCUUAUCGUCGAGAUAACUCUUGAAACAGUACAUAACAUUCAGCCUGAAAUGAUGUUGGUGCUUCGUGAAAAGUUUGGCCACUUGAACCUGACAUUUUCUAUUGGAGAGCAGAUCAGUUCUAAUGGCGUAAUUUUGAUUGCAAUGAUAUCGAUGGCGCCGAGAGGAGGCAAAGCGGCAAGAUGCGUUUUACCAUGCUGGGUCAAAAGCCGGCCAGAACGUGUCACCGGCAUGUGCUGGGUUGCUGAUCGAUUUCUUGCUUUGCUUACAGUUCACCAAUGGAUUGUGGGUAAGAACGGAUUAAAGAAGGAUGAUGCUGGAGAUGUGAAAAUAAUGUUUGAUGAGUGUUUUGCUUGGAUCUAUGGGCACUCCAAUCAUUCAGAAAAAAUAUGCACACUCUCUAAAACUUUAGGUUCACAGAACUUGAUUAAUCUAAAUGUGAGGCAUUGUACAAUUAUGAAUGUUAGUGAUGGUGGAUUUUUAGUCUUCAUGUUAUGUUCAUCUUCCUUUGGUGUUUAG